Molecule: ribosomal RNA, 608 nt
Filed under: uncultured Alphaproteobacteria bacterium
Lineage: Bacteria; Pseudomonadati; Pseudomonadota; Alphaproteobacteria
Description: partial 16S ribosomal RNA
Source: RNAcentral
UUGGGAGCUCUCCCAUAUGGUCGACCUGCAGGCGGCCGCGAAUUCACUAGUGAUUCGUAUUACCGCGGCUGCUGGCACGAAGUUUGCCGGGGCUUAUUCUGCAGGUACCGUCAUUAUCGUCCCUGCCAAAAGAGCUUUACAACCCUAAGGCCUUCUUCACUCACGCGGCAUGGCUGGAUCAGGCUUUCGCCCAUUGUCCAAGAUUCCCCACUGCUGCCUCCCGUAGGAGUCUGGGCCGUGUCUCAGUCCCAGUGUGGCUGAUCGUCCUCUCAGACCAGCUACCCAUCGUUGCCUUGGUAGGCCGUUACCCCACCAACAAGCUAAUGGGCCGCGAGCCCCUCCCAAUGCGGAGGCCGAAGCUUCCUUUAGCGCACAGGCUUACACCCGUGCGCCACAUCCGGUAUUAGCCCGAGUUUCCUCGGGUUGUCCCGGUCAUCGGGGCAGGUUACUCACGUGUUACUCACCCGUUCGCGGCUUGGCCCCAGGGCAAGCCCUGGUUCGUCGCACCACUUGCAUGUGUUAAGCACGCCGCCAGCGUUCGUCCUGAGCCAUGAUCAAACUCUAAUCGAAUUCCCGCGGCCGCCAUGGCAGCCGGAAGCAUGGGACGU